Molecule: transfer RNA, 87 nt
Filed under: Colletotrichum caudatum
Lineage: Eukaryota; Fungi; Ascomycota; Sordariomycetes; Glomerellales; Glomerellaceae
Also listed under: 2 other names
Description: tRNA-Glu
Rfam family: tRNA
About the family: Transfer RNA (tRNA) molecules are approximately 80 nucleotides in length. Their secondary structure includes four short double-helical elements and three loops (D, anti-codon, and T loops).
Source: RNAcentral
UCCGAUAUGGUGUAGUGGCCAACAUGAUGCCCUCUCAUCUCCAUGAGAGGUUAGGCAUAGCCCCGAGUUCGAUUCUCGGUUUCGGAA